GCCAGCAUUAAGUUGGGCACUCUAGAGAGUCUGCCUGGGUUAACCAGGAGGAAGGUGGGGAUGACGUCAAGUCCUCAUGGCCCUUAUGUCCAGGGCUACACACGUAAUACAAUGGUGCAAACAGAGGGACGCAAGCAUGCUAGUGUUAGCAAAUCUCAAAAAGUGCAUCUCAGUCCGGAUUGGAGUCUGCAACUCGACUCCAUGAAGUUGGAAUCGCUAGUAAUCGCAGAUCAGCACGCUGCGGUGAAUACGUUCCCGGGCCUUGUACACACCGCCCGUCACACCAU
RNAcentral lists this ribosomal RNA (287 nucleotides) under uncultured Halobacteriovorax sp. Its description in RNAcentral is "partial 16S ribosomal RNA". It matches the Rfam family "Bacterial small subunit ribosomal RNA", at positions 1117 to 1405 of the family's 1533-position model. Lineage: Bacteria; Pseudomonadati; Bdellovibrionota; Bacteriovoracia; Bacteriovoracales; Halobacteriovoraceae. The record is from RNAcentral.